Molecule: ribosomal RNA, 253 nt
Filed under: uncultured bacterium
Lineage: Bacteria
Description: partial 16S ribosomal RNA
Rfam family: Bacterial small subunit ribosomal RNA
Source: RNAcentral
UACAGAGGUCUCAAGCGUUGUUCGGAUUCAUUGGGCGUGAAGGGUGCGUAGGUGGCGCCGUAAGUCGGGUGUGAAAUUUCGGAGCUUAACUCCGAAACUGCAUUCGAUACUGCGGUGCUUGAGGACUGGAGAGGAGACUGGAAUUCAUGGUGUAGCAGUGAAAUGCGUAGAGAUCAUGAGGAAGACCAGUGGCGAAGGCGGGUCUCUGGACAGUUCCUGACACUGAGGCACGAAGGCCAGGGGAGCAAACGGG